ACAAAAACAUCUCUUUUUGACACAUAAAAAGUACCGUCUGCUCAAUGCAAUUUGUAAAUAGCCGCAGUAUUCUGACUGUGCUAAGGUAGCAUAAUCAUUAGUCUUUUAAUUGAAGGCUGGUAUGAAUGACGAGACGAGAAAAUAGCUGUCUCUAAAAUAAAUCUUGAAUUUUAUUUCUAAGUGAAAAAGCUUAGAUAAUUUUAAAGGACGAUCAGACCCUUUGGAGCUUUAUUUAUUUUAAAUUUUAAUUUAUUUUAGAUUAUUGAAUGAAUAAUAAAUUUUGUUGGGGCGACAGAGAGUAAUAAAUACCACUCUUUUUUUUAAACAAUUAUAAUUGAAAAAUUGAUCCUUAAAGUAAGAUUAAAAGACUAAGUUACCCUAGGGAUAACAGCGUAAUCUUCUUGGAGAGUUCAAAUCGAUAAGAAGGUUUGCGACCUCGAUGUUGGAUUAAGAGAUUGACAAGGUGCAGAAGUUUUGUUGGAAAGUCUGUUCGACUUUUAAUUUCUUACAUGAUCUGAG
This 519-nucleotide ribosomal RNA is filed under the name Daphnia similoides. RNAcentral describes it as "partial 16S ribosomal RNA". It matches the Rfam family "Bacterial large subunit ribosomal RNA", at positions 1807 to 2609 of the family's 2925-position model. The record is from RNAcentral. Lineage: Eukaryota; Metazoa; Arthropoda; Branchiopoda; Diplostraca; Daphniidae.